AGUGAAAUAGGGGUGAGUUUCGCUGAUGAAUUGGUGUUUUGAGUUGUCGUUUUGAGUGGUGGUAUAAAUGGGGCUCUGUAGGCCCCAUUGCCUUGUUCAUCAUCCUGUGCUUGGUUCAUGGGAACUGCAAGUUUGACAAUCAAAGGUUGGGAUAUCUCAUUUGAUCUAAGCAAGCCGCUUCACAGCGGCUUCUCUAAAAGCUAAUCCUUUAGUUAGGGAGCUAGACCUAUCCGGGUACUUCCAUAUACCAAGGAUGUGUAUCCAGUUCUUUUUUGUGAGCCUUAUUCCUCUGGGCCAAUCACAAGCAGAGGUACCAAAACUCAAUUUGUAUCCAUUUUUCAUGAUAUUAUGCAUGGAUCAGAUAUAUCAUGGCCAAUUCCUCAUAAGAUUCUUUCACAAUGGACUCUGAUAGGCAAGCGUCUCUUCAAAGCAUCCCUUCUGCAAAGAAUAAAAUAAAUGCAAAUGAUAAUGGAGUAGAAUAUCAUGAAGAGAUUACAAAUACAAAAAAGUAUAUACCUGCAUAGAUAUUGUAGAUGAGGACUUAUUCAUAUAUAAGGAAGGCUUCCCUUAGAACAAGCUCAAACCCAUCUAUUUCAUAAUGGAAUCAGGAAUUCCUUCAAAUCUAUCGACUUACAAACAUAAAGAAAUGCAAUUUUUGGAUAUAUUUCUUAACAAGCUCGGACAAGUGUUCCUCCCCUUCUUUUUCUUACAAUCUUAUUCCCCUUCUGUAUAGUAUAUAGCGACAGAGUUAAACCGGAAGCCCUCAUGGAUUGCCUCCCAAGCAAAAGAAAGAGGCAGUUUGUUGCCCAACCCACCGCCCAAAAUAUCGACCAUGUCCAUCCAUUGAGUCAAGAAAAUUUGAGAAGAUAUGAUCGGGGUUUGGGUUCUUCUAUUUCCGAAAUUAAUCAUACAUGCAGAAAACAAAAACCUAUACCCAAAAAAUUUAAGAAAGAAAGAAAGAAAGAAAGAAAGAAAACCAUUCAAUAGAUUCAAAAUUUCUUGUUGUAACCAGCAGAUCAUACCAUACCCAAAAAAUUGCACCAAGAAAACACCACGAUAUCAAGAUUCAAGAGCACAUCGGUCGAACUAAUGACCCAUUUCUCCCGGGCAUUCUUGCCGAUAUAUUAUUCUCAAUAUCUGAAGCCCGUGAUACCGAGGUCACAAAUCAAGCACUUUACUGUUGCGCAGGGCUCACCAUCCUCCGAUUCAUCUUAAAAACCUAAAAAUCAAGAAGCGAGAAGGGGAUUCGAGAUCAACUCACAUCUUGUCGACGACCCAUUGCCGCAAAUUGUGGUGCAGCUGGCUCCGUCAGUUGCCGGCCGCGGAGAUUGGAACGCCUCUGGCAAAGGCACAAGGAAAAUAAACCGCAGGAGAUCUCGGCCGCGGCGGCGGCGGCGGCGGAGGAGAGGGAGAGGAGAGGACACAACUAACCGGCGGCUAAUAUCGGCGGAACACCAAACCGAAGGCAGACUACCCUCUCCCCGGGUUCUAACGAAGCGGUCGAUGCUGACGCCUUCAUAUAUGUUAACGCCUAUCAUUCUCCAUGGGUUCUAACAUGAUUUAGUUUUCUCCCUAUUUAUAUGAUAAUUACUAAUGACGAGAAUUCUCGUAUUUCUUG
RNAcentral lists this long non-coding RNA (1618 nucleotides) under Phoenix dactylifera (date palm). Its description in RNAcentral is "long non-coding RNA (PDAC_LNC006362)". Lineage: Eukaryota; Viridiplantae; Streptophyta; Magnoliopsida; Arecales; Arecaceae. The record is from RNAcentral.